RNAcentral lists this ribosomal RNA (229 nucleotides) under uncultured bacterium. RNAcentral describes it as "partial 16S ribosomal RNA". It matches the Rfam family "Bacterial small subunit ribosomal RNA", at positions 568 to 796 of the family's 1533-position model. The record is from RNAcentral.
UCCGCAGGCGGCCUUACAAGUGAAAGGUGAAAUCUUUCGGCUCAACCGGAAAACUGCCUUUCAAACUGUAAGGCUUGAGGAUGGAAGAGGAGAGUGGAACUGCCGGUGUAAAGGUGAAAUUUGUGGAUAUUGGCAGGAACGCCCGUGGAGAAGUCGGCUCUCUGGUCCAUAUCUGACGCUCAGGGACGAAAGCUAGGGGAGCCAACAGGAUUAGAUACCCUGGUAGUCC